UACGAAGGGGCUAGCGUUGUUCGGAAUUACUGGGCGUAAAGCGCGCGCAGGCGGCUCUUCAAGUCAGGGGUGAAAGCCCAGAGCUCAACUCUGGAACUGCCUUUGAGACUGAAGAGCUUGAGUACGGGAGAGGUGGAGUGGAAUUCCCAGUGUAGGAGGUGAAAUUCGGUAGAUAUUGGGAAGAACACCGGUGGCGAAGGCGGCUCACUGGCCCGUUACUGGACGCUCAGGCGCGAACAGGCGUGGGGAUCGAAACAGG
RNAcentral lists this ribosomal RNA (259 nucleotides) under uncultured bacterium. Its description in RNAcentral is "partial 16S ribosomal RNA". It matches the Rfam family "Bacterial small subunit ribosomal RNA", at positions 524 to 776 of the family's 1533-position model. The record is from RNAcentral.